UUUUAUAAAACUACUGAAGUCACUGUGCUUUUUUCAUUCAUUUUGGUGUUCUCUUUAAGCCUGUGAAAUCUGUUAUCGAAUAGCACUGUCAUCAAGUAUUUUUCUGCCUUGCCCUUCCUUUUGUUAUUUCUUUCGUUUUAUGUCUGGCCUAUUUUAUUUUGCAAAUAGAAAUGUUGUAUCCAUGUUCUCGUUUAGUAAACAAAUGAUGACUUGUUCUGAUCUUCACUUCUACUUGGGCAUCCAGCACAGCAUUUAAUGGAUUUGCACAGGUUAGAAACAAGCAAAUUUUGAGAAUUUUUUUCUGUUUUGUUGGGAAGAGAUUAAGACUGGUUGCACAGUUUUGAAAACUCUGCUCUGCAGACCAGCUACACAGUAAUGUCCUGCUGACACGAAUCCUGAACUUGUCUGCCCUCAGAAAGUCUUCCUGGAUGUUUCUAGAAGGUUGCUAAUAUUCUUGGCACUCUUGGCCUAGCUGAAUUUUAUUGGAAAACUCCCACUAGCUUAGCAGGACUGUCUUCUUAUUUUCCAUGUGAAAGAACUGGAUUAGUAUUUUUCUUGCUCUCUUUUUUGGAUUUUUCUAACAAUCUCAAAAGCCUGUGAAGCAUGGCUUCUUCACAGCUUUCACACCUGUUCAGUGGCUCUAUGUAUUUAUGCAUUUAUACAUGAAAUGAGCUUUAUUUGUUUCUGCAAUGUUGUUUUCACCUAACAUAUGUUUUAGUCCGGGAGUUAAAUCUGAGUUGUUUAUUUACUGCUGUGAUAAUGCUGAGGAUCUGCAUGAGGCACUGCAGCAGUGCAGUGCACGCUUACGCUCUCAAACCUCAGGGCCCCCAUCCCAAGUGAUAAUGCAGAUAAUCUGGGGCCUUCUUAAAUUCCAGCACCAUUCAGAGGCUGGCUUACCCACAGCAUGCUCUGCACACCACUGUUUAGAUAUGCACACAAAAAAGCUGGGCAUCUGCAAGGCUGAAAACGAGUCUUUCAGUGCUUAUUAAUUUUGCUCCAGGCCUUUUACAUUAGUAAAGUAUUCAGAAGGAAGGGCUAAAAUACAAAGCUGCCACCACUUUCUCUAAUUAAUGCAUGCGAAGCUUCACAUCUCUAAUUACUGAGCAGUGUGUGCUGUGCAAAUAAAAGCCCAGAGUCCAGAGGAUGUGUAAGGAACUCUGAGCUCUGCACUCCCUGUGCAGUGCAGUCUGGCAAAAUAAACUUCUGGCAUUCGCUGUUCAGAAGUGCAGUGUGCCUGAAGCAAAGUCCUUGCAAUUCACUUCUAUUCAGCGAAGGAUUCCUCACCUGUUUGAACAACUUGAAACAUUUUAGAGUUGUGGAACACUUUUGAAAAAGGAAGGUCUUUAAUAUUGAUAUUCAUGCCUAUUUAGAUUAUCGAUUUUCCAUCCAAGCUCAGCUACUGAUGGUUAUGCCUGAGUAAGCCAUAAAAAUCAGGUCUUUACUGGAUACAUCCCAUGCCAAAUAUUGUUGCUGUGUUGUUUUUAUUUUCUACAGGUAGGAUGCCGCUGCAUUUACAGUGCAAUCAAAUGAGAAUGUGACAGAGACUCUUUUCAUAAUCAGCCUGAAGUGCAUUGCCAAACACUUCAUUCCAAGAGCUCAUCUUAAUUGCUGCAUGGAAUCUUACUGCAUGUCCUUGUUGUGAUCCAUCGGUGCCACAGAACAAAUAAAUUUCUGUUAGGUGCUGGCAACCAUUGAUUCUUAUUUUGGUUUCAGGGAACAAAAUUUUUCACAGUUAGAGGGACAGAAUCACCACGUGGUGCAGAAGAGCUGAAGCAAAUGGUACAACUCGUGGCACCCAAACUGCAGACUGUAUGAUCUGGGAGAGCAGUGCAAAGAAGAGUGGUCAGCUGUGUCUGAAAGCUGAGCGUGGAGCCAAGUACAGGUACAGCACUGGAGUAUGAGGCCAUUUAAAGGCACCCACUGCAUGUACAGCUGAGUAUGGACCUGGAGGAAAGUGAUUCUGCACAAACUGAUGAGCUUUGUGACCCACCUCUUUGAACAAUCCCCUGCCGUGUGUUUCAGCCCAAUGUGUGUGGAAGAAGUGUUCCAGAAAGUUUUCCUGCAAACUGGAGAAUAUCGAGGCAGAGAUAAGGAGACAACUGGAAUUGCUGCGAAAGAGAGCGAGAAUUGAAACUGUAGUGUUUUUGAGUGUGCAUGGAGAGCAGCAGAGGAAGAAGAGCUACCUAUUAAAUGCAGGAAGAGAGGAAAAGGUUAGCAGCAUCCCUUCAGUAGUAAUGGAGCCAGCAUCAAACAAUGAAGGGGAAGGAGAAGAACAUGAUGUCAUCAUUAACGAGUCCAAAGAUGCUGCAGCAGAGAUGGGCACUCAGGCACUGACAGUGAAACUUGCCAAGCUGGAAGUGAGCAGAAACCAACUGAAGAAAUCCAGACUGCACCUUCUCAAGAUCAGCCUGCAUCAGCAGGAGGCACAGCUUCUGACAUGCCACUGGGCUUUCUCUUUAAGGUUGAAGCUCUGCAUGAUUUUGAGGCAGCUAACAGUGAUGAGCUUAAUUUAAAACAAGGGGAUAUUGCACUAGUAAUUCCUUCUGAGACCACAGCUGAUCAGAUAAUUUGUUGAUUUACAGAGAGUAUUUGAUCUUGGUUCUUUUUUCUCCUGCAAAACUGAUCUAAAACCAUCAUUCUGAGAUAGCUAGUGCUGUCAGCCUGUGCUCCCUGUGCAAAGCCAACUCAUCCCAGCCAGUGACUCCAACUUUUAUCCAUAAUUGUUGAGUUGAAGUCAUCAUCCAUUACAACUUCAGUCCUGAGCAGAAUCUACUCUGUCCAUGGUAGAAAACUUCAGUUCCCCCACCUCAGGUUUUCCAAAAGGAACAAAGCACAGAGUUAGCCAUGUGGUGAGAUGAAAAUAGGCUGAUCACUGCAAAAAUACUGCACGGGUUUUAUUCCAGGUGAAAUGGAUAGCACUUAGGAGAACCCAGCACUUUCCAACAGGAAAUCUUCCUUUUGAUUCAUGGAUUUGGAUUGCAGUAUUGCAUGUCAAGAUCUGGCUUAGGCUGAAGCUUCCAGGAAUUUUUGGAAAAGGUUGUUGAGUAUCAACUGACUUUUAGUUUCUAGCAAUUAUGAUGGCAGAGAAAACAAGAACUGUUAUUUCUUCUGUCA
This is a long non-coding RNA of Tympanuchus pallidicinctus (lesser prairie-chicken), 3114 nucleotides long. RefSeq lists it as uncharacterized. The transcript has 10 exons. Lineage: Eukaryota; Metazoa; Chordata; Aves; Galliformes; Phasianidae. The record is from RefSeq and is a predicted model, not a curated record.